This 253-nucleotide ribosomal RNA is filed under the name uncultured bacterium. RNAcentral's name for it is "partial 16S ribosomal RNA". It matches the Rfam family "Bacterial small subunit ribosomal RNA", at positions 524 to 776 of the family's 1533-position model. The record is from RNAcentral.
GACGAACCGUGCGAACGUUGUUCGGAAUCACUGGGCUUAAAGGGCUCGUAGGCGGCCAACUAAGUCAGACGUGAAAUCCCCAGGCUCAACCUGGGAACUGCGUCUGAUACUGGAUGGCUUGAAUUCGGGAGAGGGAUGCAGAAUUCCAGGUGUAGCGGUGAAAUGCGUAGAUAUCUGGAGGAAUACCGGUGGCGAAGGCGGCAUCCUGGACCGACAUUGACGCUGAGGAGCGAAAGCUAGGGGAGCAAACGGG